This 407-nucleotide ribosomal RNA is filed under the name uncultured prokaryote. RNAcentral's name for it is "bacterial SSU rRNA". It matches the Rfam family "Bacterial small subunit ribosomal RNA", at positions 355 to 776 of the family's 1533-position model. RNAcentral also lists the same sequence under 1 other name. The record is from RNAcentral.
UGGGGAAUAUUGGGCAAUGGGGGAAACCCUGACCCAGCAACGCCGCGUGAGGGAAGAAGGUUUUCGGAUUGUAAACCUCUGUCGCCAGGGACGAAACAAAUGACGGUACCUGGUGAGGAAGCCCCGGCAAACUACGUGCCAGCAGCCGCGGUAAUACGUAGGGGGCGAGCGUUGUCCGGAAUUACUGGGCGUAAAGGGUGCGUAGGCGGUUUGACAAGUCGGAUGUGGAAUACCCGGGCUUAACCCGGGGGUGUCAUUCGAAACUGUUGGACUUGAGUGCAGAAGAGGAAAGUGGAAUUCCCAGUGUAGCGGUGAAAUGCGUAGAUAUUGGGAGGAACACCAGUGGCGAAGGCGACUUUCUGGGCUGUAACUGACGCUGAGGCACGAAAGCGUGGGGAGCAAACAGG